GACGAACGCUGGCGGCGUGCUUAACACAUGCAAGUCGAACGGAAAGGCCCUGCUUUUGUGGGGUGCUCGAGUGGCGAACGGGUGAGUAACACGUGAGUAACCUGCCCUUGACUUUGGGAUAACUUCAGGAAACUGGGGCUAAUACCGGAUAGGAGCUCCUGCUGCAUGGUGGGGGUUGGAAAGUUUCGGCGGUUGGGGAUGGACUCGCGGCUUAUGAGCUUGUUGGUGGGGUAGUGGCUUACCAAGGCUUUGACGGGUAGCCGGCCUGGGAGGGUGACCGGCCACAUUGGUACUGAGAUACGGCCCAGACUCCUACGGGAGGCAGCAGUGGGGAAUAUUGCACAAUGGGCGGAAGCCUGAUGCAGCAACGCCGCGUGCGGGAUGACGGCCUUCGGGUUGUAAACCGCUUUCGCCUGUGACGAAGCGUGAGUGACGGUACUGGGUAAAGAAGCACCGGCUAACUACGUG
RNAcentral lists this ribosomal RNA (468 nucleotides) under uncultured bacterium. Its description in RNAcentral is "partial 16S ribosomal RNA". It matches the Rfam family "Bacterial small subunit ribosomal RNA", at positions 28 to 507 of the family's 1533-position model. The record is from RNAcentral.